AGUCGAGCGGUAACAGGAAUUAGCUUGCUAAUUUGCUGACGAGCGGCGGACGGGUGAGUAACGCGUAGGAAUCUGCCUGGUAGUGGGGGACAACAUGUGGAAACGCAUGCUAAUACCGCAUACGCCCUACGGGGGAAAGGAGGGGAUCUUCGGACCUUUCGCUAUCAGAUGAGCCUGCGUGAGAUUAGCUAGUUGGUGGGGUAAAGGCUCACCAAGGCGACGAUCUCUAGCUGGUCUGAGAGGAUGAUCAGCCACACUGGGACUGAGACACGGCCCAGACUCCGACGGGAGGCAGCAGUGGGGAAUAUUGGACAAUGGGCGCAAGCCUGAUCCAGCCAUGCCGCGUGUGUGAAGAAGGCCUUCGGGUUGUAAAGCACUUUCAGAGGUGAGGAAGGGUGUGCCGUUAAUACCGGUAUGCUUUGACGUUAGCCUCAGAAGAAGCACCGGCUAACCCUGUGCCAGCAGCCGCGGUAAUACAGAGGGUGCAAGCGUUAAUCGGAAUUACUGGGCGUAAAGC
Molecule: ribosomal RNA, 517 nt
Filed under: uncultured Oceanospirillaceae bacterium
Lineage: Bacteria; Pseudomonadati; Pseudomonadota; Gammaproteobacteria; Oceanospirillales; Oceanospirillaceae
Description: bacterial SSU rRNA
Rfam family: Bacterial small subunit ribosomal RNA
Source: RNAcentral